Molecule: ribosomal RNA, 468 nt
Filed under: uncultured bacterium
Lineage: Bacteria
Description: partial 16S ribosomal RNA
Rfam family: Bacterial small subunit ribosomal RNA
Source: RNAcentral
GACGAACGCUGGCGGCGUGCUUAACACAUGCAAGUCGAACGGAAAGGCCCUGCUUUUGUGGGGUGCUCGAGUGGCGAACGGGUGAGUAACACGUGAGUAACCUGCCCUUGACUUUGUGAUAACUUCAGGAAACUGGGGCUAAUACCGGAUAGGAGCUCCUGCUGCAUGGUGGGGGUUGGAAAGUUUCGGCGGUUGGGGAUGGACUCGCGGCUUAUCAGCUUGUUGGUGGGGUAGUGGCUUACGAAGGCUUUGACGGGUAGCCGGCCUGAGAGGGUGACCGGCCACAUUGGGACUGAGAUACGGACCAGACUCCUACGGGAGGCAGCAGUGGGGAAUAUUGCACAAUGGGCGGAAGCCUGAUGCAGCAACGCCGCGUGCGGGAUGACGGCCUUCGGGUUGUAAACCGCUUUCACCUGUGACGAAGCGUGAGUGACGGUAAUGGGUAAAGAAGCACCGGCUAACUACGUG